RNAcentral lists this ribosomal RNA (440 nucleotides) under uncultured bacterium. RNAcentral's name for it is "partial 16S ribosomal RNA". It matches the Rfam family "Bacterial small subunit ribosomal RNA", at positions 338 to 795 of the family's 1533-position model. The record is from RNAcentral.
CCUACGGGUGGCAGCAGUGGGGAAUAUUGCACAAUGGGGGAAACCCUGAUGCAGCAACGCCGCGUGAGUGAUGACGGCCUUCGGGUUGUAAAGCUCUGUCUGCAGGGACGAAAAUGACGGUACCUGAGGAAGAAGCCACGGCUAACUACGUGCCAGCAGCCGCGGUAAUACGUAGGUGGCGAGCGUUAUCCGGAUUUACUGGGCGUAAAGGGAGCGUAGGCGGACGUUCAAGUGAGGUGUGAAAUCCCCGGGCUCAACCUGAGUGCUGCAUUUGAAACUGGAAGGCUGGAGUGCAGGAGAGGAGAAUGGAAUUCCUAGUGUAGCGGUGAAAUGCGUAGAGAUUAGGAAGAACACCAGUGGCGAAGGCGAUUCUCUGGACUGUAACUGACGCUGAGGCUCGAAAGCGUGGGGAGCAAACAGGAUUAGAUACCCGUGUAGUC